AAAGUCGUAACAAGGUUUCCGUAGGUGAACCUGCGGAAGGAUCAUUACAAUCCAAAUACACAACCCCAUGUGAACCUGUGUUUGUAUGUCUUUGGGGGGCUCAAGGAUUCCCUUUUGCCCCCCAUGUUUAUUGAACCACUCUGGUCUUACGUUGGAAUACCUUUUAUUAGUAAUAAUAAAGGACAACUUUUAACGGUGGAUCUCUUGGCUCGU
This 213-nucleotide unclassified non-coding RNA is filed under the name Basidiomycota sp. RNAcentral describes it as "partial contains small subunit ribosomal RNA, internal transcribed spacer 1, and 5.8S ribosomal RNA". The stretch from base 1 to 47 matches the Rfam family "Eukaryotic small subunit ribosomal RNA", at positions 1785 to 1831 of the family's 1831-position model. The record is from RNAcentral. Lineage: Eukaryota; Fungi; Basidiomycota.